AGUGAACGCUGGCGGUAGGCCUAACACAUGCAAGUCGAACGGCAGCACAGUAAGAGCUUGCUCUUACGGGUGGCGAGUGGCGGACGGGUGAGGAAUACAUCGGAAUCUACUUUUUCGUGGGGGAUAACGUAGGGAAACUUACGCUAAUACCGCAUACGACCUACGGGUGAAAGCAGGGGAUCUUCGGACCUUGCGCGAUUGAAUGAGCCGAUGUCGGAUUAGCUAGUUGGCGGGGUAAAGGCCCACCAAGGCGACGAUCCGUAGCUGGUCUGAGAGGAUGAUUCGGCCCACCUGAACCUGGACCACGUCCCGACCUCCACCGUGGGGCGGCGUUGGGAAUUUUUGACCAUUGGCCGCAACCCUGUUCCGCCCUUCCCGCUUAGGUGAGGAAGGCCUUCGGGUUGUAAAGCCCUUUUGUUGGGAAGAAAAGCAGCAGGUUAAUACCCCGCUGUUCUGACGGUACCCAAAGAAUAAGCACCGGCUAACUUCGUG
Molecule: ribosomal RNA, 492 nt
Filed under: uncultured bacterium
Lineage: Bacteria
Description: partial 16S ribosomal RNA
Rfam family: Bacterial small subunit ribosomal RNA
Source: RNAcentral